GGGUCAGUAGGUUGGUCGUGCCACCGGUACGUACUGGUCUCACUGAUUCCUCCUUCCUGAAGAACCGUAAUGCCAUUAAUUUGGUGUUGCGGGGACACAGGACUGUUACUUUGAAAAAAUUAGAGUGGUUAAAGCAAGCUAACGCUUGAAUACAUUAGCAUGGAAUAAUGAAAUAGGACGAUCGAUCCUAUUUUGUUGGUUUCUAGGAUUGACGUA
This 216-nucleotide ribosomal RNA is filed under the name Glomeromycotina sp. Its description in RNAcentral is "partial small subunit ribosomal RNA". The stretch from base 40 to 216 matches the Rfam family "Eukaryotic small subunit ribosomal RNA", at positions 686 to 864 of the family's 1831-position model. Lineage: Eukaryota; Fungi; Glomeromycota. The record is from RNAcentral.